UUCUUUGUGGUUUUCUAUGGCUUUUUACUCCACUCUGUGCCUCUUAAUGUAUACACAUUCUUAUUGCAGAAUAUUUAUGCACUUUUGGAAGAGCUAAGAGAGACAUACUACUGUAUAAAUUACUAAUAAAAAUAUAUUAGCCAUGUUUUAUAAUUAAUCAGUAUCUUAACCAUCACAAUGGAAAUUGGGGUGAUUACAGGACAUCAGAGAAUUUAAGCAAAUUUUCCAAAGCUAGUUUUCAACACAUUAAGGUUACUCUUACCCUUUUUUCUUGCUGCUGCUGCUGCUACAUUUUCUUCUUAUCCUACUUUUAAAUCUUAUGGGAUGUGCAUAACUCUAAAUAGAGCUGUGCUGCAGCAACUAAAACUGCUGAUGAAUGUUUUCUAGGUUGAAGCUGAUCUGGGCUAUCCAGGUGGAAAGGCGAAAGUCAUCCAUAAGGAAUCUGAUAUGAUCAUGGCAUUUUCUGUUAAUAAGGCAAAUUGUAAUGAAAUUGUUUUGGCUUCAACACAUGAUGUUCAAGAACUUGAUGUUACUUCUCUACUGGCCUGUCAGUCAUACAUAUGGAUCGGAGAAGAAUAUGACAGAGAAUCCAAAAGUUCAGAUGAUGUUGAUUAUCGUGGUUCCACUACAACUCUUUAUCAACCCAGUGCAACAUCCUAUUCAGCAAGUCAGGUGCAUCCACCUUCAUCUC
Molecule: small RNA, 691 nt
Filed under: Pan troglodytes (chimpanzee)
Lineage: Eukaryota; Metazoa; Chordata; Mammalia; Primates; Hominidae
Description: retained intron
Source: RNAcentral